GAACCUCCUCAUCUGGGCCUGGUC
RNAcentral lists this non-coding RNA (24 nucleotides) under Arabidopsis thaliana (thale cress). Lineage: Eukaryota; Viridiplantae; Streptophyta; Magnoliopsida; Brassicales; Brassicaceae. The record is from RNAcentral.